UUCGUAGACGUCCGUGCGUAGUCUCUACGGUUUCGAGUGCCUCCGACUUAGAUUGUGAUGAACUACCCUGAACUGUCGACGUGAACACGGAAUUACUCAUCCAGCUGGUCAUCAUUCAAACAAUGGACAUCGAAGAAAGGAAGGAGAAGAAGGAGAUCACAGAACACCGAGACAAAGGAUGUAGAAAUCGUUCGUGUGGAAGUUCGCGUUCCUUCUUCCGUUUUACCCAUCGAAAGGGUGUCAGCAUUGAUCGCUUGUACACAGCGCCCUGAGCUGGGUGACUUGUCACACUUACCUCUCAAUACACUGUUGUGCGGUGAGCACUACACACUGGAUUGCCUCUCCUGCCAGAUUGGGGCUGAAGAAGACACCUUGCCCGACAGUUCCACAGCAAGAUUCUCGUAGCAGUAUGCCAGAUGCUCCAAGCAGUGCAAAGGUAGACCUUCUACCACUACUCCUGUUCCCGCCAUCAUCGUCGACAACGGACACACCUAGCAUAGCUGUCUCCAAUACCUUCACAUCUGACUACUGGAUAUGUGGUGAACUGCGCAAUGCUCCCGUGAAGACUGUUGCAAGACAUGUGUGUAUAGCGCCACUUUUUUGCAACGAUUCAUAAAGAAAAAUAAAUUGAUUGAUAAUCCUGCAUCGCUCUUCGUUCCUCAACUUUUGGGCGCCA
Ornithodoros turicata is the source of this 676-nucleotide long non-coding RNA. RefSeq lists it as uncharacterized. The record is from RefSeq and is a predicted model, not a curated record. Lineage: Eukaryota; Metazoa; Arthropoda; Arachnida; Ixodida; Argasidae. The transcript has 4 exons.